CCAACAGCUCUUCUAAGAGCUACCAAAUUUCAAAAAGAAUAAAACG
Molecule: non-coding RNA, 46 nt
Filed under: Paramuricea clavata
Lineage: Eukaryota; Metazoa; Cnidaria; Anthozoa; Malacalcyonacea; Plexauridae
Rfam family: Histone 3' UTR stem-loop
About the family: The mRNAs of metazoan histone genes lack a poly-A tail. 3' end processing occurs at a site between a highly conserved stem-loop (modelled by this family) and a purine rich region around 20 nts downstream (the histone downstream element, or HDE).
Source: RNAcentral